CGGGCGGUGGGGUCGGGCCCACGCAGCGGCGGGACGGGAGGAGCUGCAGGGCCCGCAGGGAGCGGCUGAGGCGGCGGCUCCUCCUCUCCAGCCAUGGCUGUUAAGGACCCUACAGCCGUAGAAAGAGCAAAUUUACUGAACAUGGCUAAAUUGAGUAUCAAAGGACUCAUUGAAUCAGCUUUGAGCUUUGGCCGCACUCUGGAUUCUGACUACCCACCUUUGCAGCAGUUCUUUGUUGUCAUGGAGCACUGCCUGAAGCAUGGCCUUAAAGUAAGAAAAUCCUUUCUAAGUUACAAUAAAACCAUCUGGGGUCCUCUGGAACUUGUGGAGAAAUUAUAUCCAGAAGCUGAGGAAAUAGCAGCAAGUGUCAGAGAUUUGCCUGGCCUUAAAACACCACUGGGCCGUGCCCGGGCCUGGUUACGGUUAGCACUAAUGCAGAAGAAAAUGGCCGACUAUCUUCGCUGUUUAAUCAUUCAGAGAGAUCUUCUCAGUGAAUUUUAUGAGUACCAUGCACUAAUGAUGGAGGAAGAAGGAGCAGUUAUUGUUGGGCUAUUAGUUGGGUUAAACGUGAUAGAUGCUAACCUGUGUGUGAAGGGAGAAGACCUAGAUUCACAAGUUGGGGUGAUCGAUUUCUCUAUGUAUUUAAAGAGUGAUGAUGACAUUGGAGGUAAAGAAAGAAAUGUACAGAUUGCUGCAAUUUUGGACCAAAAGAAUUAUGUUGAAGAACUAAACAGACAACUGAAUAGCACAGUUAGCAGUCUACAUGCAAGAGUUGAUUCACUGGAGAAAUCAAACACUAAACUGAUCGAAGAGUUAGCGAUAGCCAAAAACAAUAUAAUCAAACUUCAGGAAGAAAACCAUCAACUAAGGAGUGAAAAUACCCUCAUUUUAAUGAAAACACAGCAUCAUCUAGAGGCAACUAAAGUGGAUGUUGAAGCAGAACUUCAGACGUACAAACAUUCCAGGCAGGGUUUAGAUGAAAUGUACAAUGAAGCGCGUAGACAGCUUCGAGAAGAGUCACAGCUUCGACAAGAUAUGGAGAAUGAGCUAGUGGUUCAAGUUAGUAUGAAACAUGAGAUAGAACUUGCCAUGAAGUUGCUGGAGAAGGACAUCCAUGAGAAACAGGAUACCCUCAUAGGCCUUCGACAGCAGCUUGAUGAAGUUAAAGCAAUUAACAUGGAAAUGUACCAAAAGCUGCAGGUUUCUGAGGAUGCUAUGAAAGAAAAGAAUGAAAUAAUUGGUCGAUUAGAGGAUAAGACCAACCAAAUUAAUGCAACUAUGAAACAACUAGAACAAAGUGACAAAGAUCUGUUAACUCAAACCAGGACUAUUGCAAUGUCAUUCAUCAAAUGUGCCAGCAGUGAAGCUCAGCACCAGUAUAAACUUGUCAAAGAUAUAUCAUUCUGAAAGCUCCUCCAGAUCUGUUGUGUUUAAAUAAUUACCGAUAAAACACACCUUAAGAAUUUUAAAGUUACAAUUUUAAAUAUAAAGUGAUAUUAGAAAUCCUGCACUGUAACUGAUCGUAGCUGGGUUCUAUUUUGUUUUCUGAAAGAACAUCAUCUCCGAUCUCACUUUACCCCUCUUUAAAAAAAAAAAAGUUAAAAAAGUAAACUAUUGCACUAUUAUUAAGCAAAUGUAAGCUAGUUUUCUAAUGCUAUUUAAUCACUUCUUAAUUGUCAAACAAAGUUUAUUUUAAAAGGUUAGCUAUCUUUACUUUGACUGUAUGUUUUAUGACGUUUCUAAUCUAGUGAUUUUUCCUAUUCUUUAUGGUACUAAUAGAUUUAAAAAGUAGCCCUUCUGAUUAGUAUUUCCCUUCUUCCCUGCUUAUUUUUUUCACUUUUAGGCUGUAUUUAUCCCAAAAGCAUGCUCUCUGUUGGGUUUUUUGGUUGUAACUAGCACUGUUUUCUUAAACAGUGUGACAGCAGUUUGGGUGAAGGGGGGUUGAGUGCUAUAUCAGAACAAUGUACUUAAAAAAAGAGGGUGGUGUCAACAUAUAUGUUCAGUAUGUACGGUGGAAGAAUUACAGGGGAUAAAACAGCUAAAGCACAAUUUCUUUUUAGUGAUGUGACGUGGGGUAAAAUAUUUUCACGGAGUUAAAAUGUGUUUGGAGCCUGGACUUGGAUGGGGCUCCAGACAGGGAGGGCAGUGCGCUCUAGCAAAUUUUGUAGCUGUGACUCCUGCCUAGAGCAGCUGCACUAUGAUAGCUACAGUGGAAGCUGUAGUAAUAAAUAGGAUUUACAUUCAGGGCCCAGAUCCUGAACUUGUCUAACUUGUUUGUCAGCUAAGGCUUUUGCCUGUCUGUGGCUGUGUCUGCACUGUAAACAUAACCUGUGGUUUUGCCCAACCCCUUUUCCCUCCCUCCACCAUCAUUAGGCAGUCUUUACAACUCCUAUUUCUGCUUGUUUGCACUGCAGAAAUAAGAGAGUUUUAGCUGCUGACUGCCCUUGAUGCACUGUUUGCUCUGAAGUGUGGAGGGGGAGUUAACUGGGAAAAGAACCUUAGAGUCUUUCAGCAGAAAGGGAUGUGAUUGCAAAAGUGGGGGCAGGACGCAAUAAUGCAGAAAGGCCUUCUACUCCAUGACUAUAUAUUACCUUAUUCCUUGGUUUGGAAUCAGAAAGAGCCUUUAACAUGGGCUGGCUACUAAAAAAAUAAAAAUAAAUAAAUACCUCCCAUCCUCAAAGAAAACCAAACCAGAAACACUGAAUAGAACAACAGGUAGACCAUAGCAGAAAUGGGGGUGUUAACCAUCUCAUGGUCAUCUAUGCAAACAAGUAUCUGCCUCAGUAUCACCAGAAUCGCAAAUCCCGCUGCAAACUCGGUCCAGCUCAGCACUUGUCUGAAUUACAGUGGGGCAGUUAGCCUUGGUGCUGGUCUAGAGGAUGGUGCUGUAGCUUGGGUUGGCUAGCUCCCUUUCUGCCUUGGUUGUGGAAACUACACUGCAGUUUAAUUUUGUGAUUUAGGGGUUUAACUUGCUUUUGGUGUUACUGUCUUGUGUAGCUGCUUCUGCCCAGUGAAUUGACCCUGCUUUUUCCCAGUAUUCUCCUUUCCAUACGUGUUUUGGCCCUCUGUGCACUACCAUUGCGAACGUGACUGGGAACAUUGUUAAAACAACUAGUAUAGUUGAAUGAGAAAGUACACGCUUUAUAAGGUAGUUUAAUUCCAGUCUUCACUUGUUCACUGGCAGCUUGUGGAAAGUCCUGCUGGUGCAACUUCAUCAGUAGAAGCACAAAUGUAGACAUAUUGGCUGACUUAAUUUCUUUUUAGCCGAUACUAGGAGUUGUGAGUUACUCUGCAUUCAGCUAGCUGCUGGGAAGUGAGAAAUCAAGCACAGAGAGAGUAUCAGAGAUUUCUCCCACCACUUACCUGAGAGGCCCUUGAAACACUUUUGUUAAAACCGACGCAGGAGGUAGGGACAUUCAAUGGUAUUUUACAGGCUCUUUUACUCUCCUGCCUUUUCAUUGAGACAGGUGUAGUCAUGAUACAGCACAAGUUCCAUUUUAGUACCUUUACCUUGGUUACAUUACAUCCAUCUUUUUUUGGACUGAAGAGGUGACCAAGCAGAGCGGAACCACAGUGAACUACUGGAUUCCAAGGGAAGUGCUAGCUGAAGCAGAAACAAACCCCUGGAAUUCAGAAAGGAAAGAUUAAAUUAAAAAAACCCACAAUCCCUCACUUCUUGAUUAAUCAGUUUAUUUUGUCUAUAGUAUGGAGCUAUUUUAACCAGUGUAAGAAUGCAUUAUUUUUAAUACAGAUUAUUUAAAUUAAUUUACUAAUAUGAUGUAGUUGAGGUAGUUCUAUAAAUGUAGUGGGAGUUGUCAGGGUGUGUCUUGUAUUAGGCUAAUUAAGUGGGUUUUUUGCUGAUUGCAGUGCUCUGUAUUCAGCCUUAUGCCUGAAUUGUUUUGAGCUGCUUUUGCACAACACAUGCUCUGCCCUUUCUUAAUGGGUGAUUAGUACAAGCCAAGUACUUUUACAGGAUUUAUCUGGUGGGGGGAAAAAAGCUUCCAAAAAUAACACAUGAACAUAUGCUAAAGGAAAAAAAAAAGCAUUAAGGUAUAUGCUUCAAUUCUAAAAUAUGUAUCAUCAUGCUUUGGCAUCUGUUAUUAAUGAGCAUAAAAUAAAACAGUGAUUACUUACAGUGAUUACUCUCUUACUGUAUGAAAAAACAGGAGCUCGUUCUCUAGGCAUUGUAUGGAUUUCUCGUUUGAGUUUGUGAGUUUCCCCCAAACUUUGUUUUUAUUUAGAAAUGUUUCUAUUUCCCCAUUUUUCUUUUAUUUGUCUUCUUCACCCUCUACACCCUAGUUCUAGCUUCAGUUUUACCCAAAGUUGAUUUGAAUUACACCAGAUUGCAGCAAGCAGAGAAGGCUCAAAUGGAGGCUGAGGCCGAGGACGAGAAACUUAAACAGGAAUAUGUGAAUAAAUCUGAAAGUCUGCAGAAAGAAUUCUCCCAGAAGGAGAAACAACUGCUUCAGCUGGAAACAGAUUUGAAGA
This is an RNA transcript of Grus americana (Whooping crane), 4488 nucleotides long. It is a transcript of the gene named RUN and FYVE domain containing 2, with no coding region annotated. Lineage: Eukaryota; Metazoa; Chordata; Aves; Gruiformes; Gruidae. The transcript is spliced from 14 exons. The record is from RefSeq and is a predicted model, not a curated record.